AUUGAACGCUGGCGGCAGGCCUAACACAUGCAAGUCGAGCGGAUGAAGGGAGCUUGCUCCUGGAUUCACCGGCGGACGGGUGAGUAAUGCCUAUGAAUCUGCCUGGUAGUGGGGGACAACGUCCGGAACCGGGCGCUAAUACCACAUACGUCCUGAGGGAGAAAGUGGGGGAUCUUCGGACCUCACGCUAUCAGAUGAGCCUAGGUCGGAUUAGCUAGUUGGUGGGGUAAUGGCCUACCAAGGCGACGAUCCGUAACUGGUCUGAGAGGAUGAUCAGGCACACUGGAACUGAGACACGGUCCAGGCUCCUACGGGAGGCACCAGUGGGGAAUAGUGGACAAUGGGCGGAAGCCUGAUCCAGCCAUGCCGCGUGUGUGAAGAAGGUCUUCGGAUUGUAAAGCACUUUAAGUUGGGAGGAAGGGCAGUAAGUUAAUACCUUGCUGUUUUGACGUUACCAACAGAAGAAGCACCGGCUAACUUCGUG
This 484-nucleotide ribosomal RNA is filed under the name uncultured bacterium. RNAcentral's name for it is "partial 16S ribosomal RNA". It matches the Rfam family "Bacterial small subunit ribosomal RNA", at positions 30 to 507 of the family's 1533-position model. The record is from RNAcentral.